This 116-nucleotide ribosomal RNA is filed under the name uncultured bacterium. RNAcentral describes it as "partial 16S ribosomal RNA". It matches the Rfam family "Bacterial small subunit ribosomal RNA", at positions 1367 to 1482 of the family's 1533-position model. The record is from RNAcentral.
UACGUUCCCGGGUCUCGUACACACCGCCCGUCACACCAUGGGAGCGGGUUUUACCAGAAGUAGGUAGCUUAACCGCAAGGGGGGCGCUUACCACGGUAGGAUUCGUGACUGGGGUG